CCUACGGGAGGCUGCAGUAGGGAAUAUUGCUCAAUGGGGGAAACCCUGAAGCAGCAACGCCGCGUGGAGGAUGAAGGUUUUCGGAUUGUAAACUCCUUUUGUUAGAGAAGAUAAUGACGGUAUCUAACGAAUAAGCACCGGCUAACUCCGUGCCAGCAGCCGCGGUAAUACGGAGGGGGCAAGCGUUACUCGGAAUCACUGGGGGUAAAGAGCGCGUAGGCGGGGUAGCAAGUCAGAUGUGAAAUCCUAGGGCUCAACCAGAGAACUGCAUUUGAAACUGUUAUUCUAGAGUGUGGGAGAGGCAGGUGGAAUUCCUGGUGUAGGGGUAAAAUCCGUAGAGAUCAAGAGGAAUACUCAUAGCGAAGGCGACUUGCUAGAACAUAACUGACGCUGAUGCGCGAAAGCGUGGGGAGCAAACAGGAUUAGAUACCCGUGUAGUC
Molecule: ribosomal RNA, 440 nt
Filed under: uncultured bacterium
Lineage: Bacteria
Description: partial 16S ribosomal RNA
Rfam family: Bacterial small subunit ribosomal RNA
Source: RNAcentral